GAUGGAAUUGACAGCGCAAAUCUUACCCGGCAGUUAAAACGAAAACGCUGCUGCGAGGCAAACAUCGUCGCGCCGUGUAUAAUUGAGAAACGGCUCCGACAUUAAUUACCUACGUAUGGUGCAACAACUUUGGCUGCCUCUAGCGGUUGCUGCUUACCUCGGAAUGCCGUCUAUAAUUACUAAUCCUGAAACUAUCAAAUGGAGAACAAUGUUUUACAUUUUCCGAAACGUCAAACAUUCCUUGCUCUUAUCUACUUCCUACAUUGCAACGUAAUUUGACGUAUAUGUAAUUAAUGUUCGGAUAGCGACAAUGAGCAUUCUCCUUUUGUUGAAUUUUAUGAUCUAUCAUAAAAGUUCCCCGAUGGUGCUGUAAGAUACUAUACAGUGCAAAAUCAUUAAUCGCUAUGCAUCCGCAGAAACUGGUUUGAAAAUUCUGAUUGCUCAAAUUAUUUGGAGAAUUAAGACAACCCCGAAGACAACAUUUAUUGAGAAUAGGUAAAAGAAUUUCUUAAAUAUCAAAGUAUCGAUUAUUAAA
Molecule: long non-coding RNA, 535 nt
Organism: Daphnia pulex (common water flea)
Lineage: Eukaryota; Metazoa; Arthropoda; Branchiopoda; Diplostraca; Daphniidae
Exons: 2
Source: RefSeq, a predicted model, not a curated record